Molecule: ribosomal RNA, 382 nt
Filed under: uncultured bacterium
Lineage: Bacteria
Description: bacterial SSU rRNA
Rfam family: Bacterial small subunit ribosomal RNA
Source: RNAcentral
GACGAACGCUGGCGGCGUGCUUAACACAUGCAAGUCGAGCGGUAAGGCCCUUUCGGGGUACACGAGCGGCGAACGGGUGAGUAACACGUGGGUGACCUGCCCUUAGCUCUGGGAUAAGCCUGGGAAACUGGGUCUAAUACCGGAUAUGACCUCAUGACUCAUGUUGUGGGGUGGAAAGCCUUGUGCGGCUAGGGAUGGGCCCGCGGCCUAUCAGCUUGUUGGUGGGGUAAUUGCCUACCAAGGCGACGACGGGUAGCCGGCCUGAGAGGGCGACCGGCCACACUGGGACUGAGACACGGCCCAGACUCCUACGGGAGGCAGCAGUGGGGAAUCUUGCGCAAUGGGCGAAAGCCUGACGCAGCGACGCCGCGUGAGGGAUGAC